Molecule: long non-coding RNA, 586 nt
Organism: Haliotis rufescens (red abalone)
Lineage: Eukaryota; Metazoa; Mollusca; Gastropoda; Lepetellida; Haliotidae
Exons: 3
Source: RefSeq, a predicted model, not a curated record
UUGGACUCGUCCCAGCCCUAUUGUCAAGCACUUUAGUCAUUUCAAAAUCAUCCCUGUCCUCAGAGGCGGAAUUCAUUCUUGAUGUUAUUUCAUAAAAAAACCCGUCAAUGAUUGUGCAUACAAUAUAAAAAGAUGCGCUAAUCUAUACCUCAUGAUAUAUAAACCUAUUUGGUUAUUAGAUCUAACCUAGACUUACUACAAGACAAGAACCAGAGUUCUGUAGCAUCGUUUUAGGAUGUUAUUCACGCUUUUGAUAAUUUAGGAAGCACUAACAUUGAUAAAAUAUAACAGCAAACAACAGUUUGAACAACAAAAACAUUUAUUUGUACAACUGAAACCAUAUGGAAAUAAAUAACAAGACGAAAAGUUAAUGAAUCCAACAAAAUAUCCUGGAACUUGUUCCAAGGAAAGCUUUAAACAUUGUUGCUGGAGGUGAAGACUCUUUUGACCACUCGGAUGACACGGGACAUCAUGGCUCUCAGGAAGGAUGGCUGGGAGGGUUUGUGUUUCUUUCUCACUGCCAAAAUCUCAAAAAAGUCAGUCUCAAGUUAAUGUCAACCAUAAUAUUGUCAUGACCAUCACAAAG